This 54-nucleotide non-coding RNA is filed under the name unclassified sequences. RNAcentral describes it as "DUF3800-VI RNA". It matches the Rfam family "DUF3800-VI RNA". From Rfam's summary of the family: Actinobacteria, Planctomycetes, Proteobacteria, Spirochaetes. Nearby to DUF3800 The record is from RNAcentral.
CGGUUGGGAGAGCUGCGGUUGCGCGGCUCGUUAGAGUAAGUCUCUACCCGGCUG